Non-coding RNA from Podarcis lilfordi (Lilford's wall lizard), 68 nucleotides. The record is from the annotation of a GenBank genome assembly. NCBI's taxonomy places the organism in Eukaryota, Metazoa, Chordata, Lepidosauria, Squamata, Lacertidae.
UGGCAGCUUGGUGGUAGAGCCUCUGCUCUGCAUGCAGAAGGUCCCAGGUUCAAUUCCCAGCAUCUCAA